Myxocyprinus asiaticus (Chinese sucker) is the source of this 702-nucleotide long non-coding RNA. RefSeq lists it as uncharacterized. The transcript is spliced from 3 exons. The record is from RefSeq and is a predicted model, not a curated record. NCBI's taxonomy places the organism in Eukaryota, Metazoa, Chordata, Actinopteri, Cypriniformes, Catostomidae.
CUGGGACAUGCCCGAUGUUUCUCAUCGAUGGAGUAGGUGGGCUGUUCUCUACAUGAACACUCAAAAUGUUAUCACAUUAUCUGGAAAAUAGACAGUGCCACUUGUUAUAAACAGUAGACUUCCGGAGAGACUUCAAGAAAGCUCAGACAUUUAUCUCCUGGGUACUACAAACUUGUUCUUGAUCAUGUCAAAUCCACCGCCAGCACCAGAGCAGUUGAGUCCCGUCACCCCUCCGGUGACUAAAGAACUAUUCGGCGACUGCUGGAGCUGUCGGUUGCUCUCAGGCGGUGGGCUGCUGGCUUGAUGGGUUUAUGUCUACAUGCAAGCGCGUAAAACAAUGCGUAUUGGUGGUUCCACAUCUAUGGGCACAGUAGGCUAGAUCGUAUUUGCGGCAGGUUUGGCUGCCUGGGGCAUCAUAGUGAUUGCGGAUCCAGUGGGAAAGGCGACAAAGAAAUCAUAGUUUUGCAGAAAACUGAUGGUCUACACUCAUGUCCUGUCCUCUGAUGUCCAUGGACAAAGGCACAGUGGCAUGAUGCUGCAAAACUGAUGCUAAUUUGAAAUACUGAAUGUCCUACUGAUCAGGCAAACGGAAAUGCUACGGAUUCCAGUAAACAUCUAUUAAGUUUUGAACAGCAAUUUAUGAGUUGGCAUUGGGUCCCUUCUUUUUCCCGAAAGUAGGCACAACAUUCACGAAGCGUCGGU